RNAcentral lists this long non-coding RNA (1037 nucleotides) under Bemisia tabaci. RNAcentral describes it as "lncRNA ENSSSA1UGG007259". The record is from RNAcentral. Lineage: Eukaryota; Metazoa; Arthropoda; Insecta; Hemiptera; Aleyrodidae.
CCUGGGCUCACAUGAAUCGCAUGCGACGACACUAGCCAAUCGGCCAGGAGGGAGAUCUGUCCGAACGGUAGAAUUGAACGGUACAUAUACCAAUAGUACACUCGCCAGCAACAAGGUAAAUCUGUGAACUUCAAAAGUACACCUGCCGAAAGGUAUAUAUGAUUUGGCAAGAUUACUCCUGUUAGUAAUACACUCCCUUGAGCUGUGAAUCCUCCCUGCCCUCACCAAUGAACCCCAAGAUUUAAAAAUUUCCUGCAAACGCUGAAAAUACCAUCUGUUAAUAUAGGAUGGCACAGGCUGUGUCCUCAAUGGAUUCCUUUUUUUUUGUAAUUUUUAUCGGUUAAAAAUUUUGAAUUUUGUUUUAUAGUUCAGUGGUCUCUUUCAAUACUGUCUCCUAUCUGACGUUUGAAGGCGUAACCUUGUGUGAAGAAAUUGAGGCUCUGAAAGUGUGUCCAGAUAAUAAUCUAGACUCGUGUUUUCAUCGUUUACAUCUGGUUGUCAUUGCGAUAUCAGAAGUAUUGCAAGCGAUCAAUUUCUACAAGGACUGUGCACAUUUAUUGGAAGAGGAUAAAAAAAAUAGUCACGCACCUCCAUCGUAAGUUACUGUUUUGUUCAAUGUAUCUUGCGGCUUUUUCCGAGUUCUCGUGGUAUAUUCAUUUAUACGGCGUAUUUUAGCCAGCUGUGUGAUUAUUUUCAAAUUUUAUAAAAUAUCCCUCUGCAAAACCAAUUAUUUCUCACAUCUUAUGAAAUACCACUGUGCAAAACAAUUAUUUCUCACAUCAUAUAAAAUAGCACUCUGCAAACCAUGUUUACGUAUUCCUCAAGGUUUGAAGACCAUUGCUUGAUAAAAGCCCGUGUGAUCACCAGGUUCACUUAAAAUCCGCCGAAAAUAUUUAUUUCUUGUUAGAUUAAUCCUUUGAUCAUGAGUAGGACGUGAGAGGAAAGAAACACACAAUGACUUUCAUUAAGUAAUCGGCAUUAAUUUAGUAACAUUUAGUGAUAAGGACAGAUGCUUAUAACUAAACAGAAUGAUAGGU